GUAGGUGGCAAGCGUUGUCCGGAAUUAUUGGGCGUAAAGCGCGCGCAGGCGGUCCUUUAAGUCUGAUGUGAAAGCCCACGGCUCAACCGUGGAGGGUCAUUGGAAACUGGGGGGCUUGAGUACAGAAGAGGAAAGCGGAAUUCCAAGUGUAGCGGUGAAAUGCGUAGAGAUUUGGAGGAACACCAGUGGCGAAGGCGGCUUUCUGGUCUGUAACUGACGCUGAGGCGCGAAAGCGUGGGGAGCAAACAGGGAUUAGAUACCCUGGUAGUCCACGCCGUAAACGAUGAGUGCUAAGUGUUAGGGGGUUUCCCGCCCCUUAGUGCUGCAGCUAACGCAUUAAGCACUCCGCCUGGGGAUACGGCCGCAAGGCUG
This 372-nucleotide ribosomal RNA is filed under the name uncultured organism. Its description in RNAcentral is "partial 16S ribosomal RNA". It matches the Rfam family "Bacterial small subunit ribosomal RNA", at positions 527 to 896 of the family's 1533-position model. The record is from RNAcentral.